AAAUAAUAAGCUUAAAGCAUUUGUUUUGAAAACAAAAGAUAGAAUUAUAUUCUAUUAACUU
RNAcentral lists this transfer RNA (61 nucleotides) under Gryllus lineaticeps. RNAcentral describes it as "tRNA-Ser". Lineage: Eukaryota; Metazoa; Arthropoda; Insecta; Orthoptera; Gryllidae. The record is from RNAcentral.